Molecule: ribosomal RNA, 450 nt
Filed under: uncultured bacterium
Lineage: Bacteria
Description: partial 16S ribosomal RNA
Rfam family: Bacterial small subunit ribosomal RNA
Source: RNAcentral
AACGAACGCUGGCGGCAGGCCUAACACAUGCAAGCCGAACGGAUGUAGCAAUACAUUAGUGGCGCACGGGAGAGUAACACGUGGGAAUCUACCUUUUGGUUCGGAAUAACGUCGGGAAACUGACGCUAAUACCGGAUAAGCCCUACGGGGGAAAGUUUUUCGCCAAAAGAUGAGCCCGCGCUAGAUUAGCUUGUUGGUGAGGUAAUGGCUCACCAAGGCUACGAUCUAUAGCUGGUCUGAGAGGAUGACCAGCCUCACUGGGACUGAGACACGGCCCAGACUCCUACGGGAGGCAGCAGUGGGGAAUAUUGGACAAUGGGGGAAGCCCUGAUCCAGCCAUGCCGCGUGAAUGAUGAAGGCCUUCGGGUUGUAGAGUUCUUUUGGUAGGGACGAUGAUGACGGUACCUACAGAAUAAGCUCCGGCUAACUUCGUGCCAGCAGCCGCAGUAA